GAAAUGCGAUAAGUAAUGUGAAUUGCAGAAUUCAGUGAAUCAUCGAAUCUUUGAACGCACCUUGCGCUCCUUGGUAUUCCUUGGAGCAUGCCUGUUUGAGUAUCAUGAAAUCUUCAAAGUAAAUCUUUUGUUAACUCAAUUGGUUUCUACUUUGGUAUUGGAGGUCUUUGCAGCUUCACACCUGCUCCUCUUUGUUCAUUAGCUGGAUCUCAGUGUUAUGCUUGGUUCCGCUCGGCGUGAUAAGUUAUCUAUCGCUGAGGACACUGUAAAAGGUGGCCAAGGUAAAUGCAGAUGAACCGCUUCUAAUAGUCCAUUGACUUGGACAAUACUUUUAUGAUCUGAUCUCCAAUCAGGUAGGACUACCCGCUGAACUUAAGC
RNAcentral lists this unclassified non-coding RNA (378 nucleotides) under plant metagenome. RNAcentral describes it as "partial contains 5.8S ribosomal RNA, internal transcribed spacer 2, and large subunit ribosomal RNA". The stretch from base 1 to 105 matches the Rfam family "5.8S ribosomal RNA", at positions 50 to 154 of the family's 154-position model. The record is from RNAcentral.